This 378-nucleotide ribosomal RNA is filed under the name uncultured bacterium. RNAcentral's name for it is "bacterial SSU rRNA". It matches the Rfam family "Bacterial small subunit ribosomal RNA", at positions 28 to 407 of the family's 1533-position model. The record is from RNAcentral.
GACGAACGCUGGCGGCGUGCUUAACACAUGCAAGUCGAGCGGUAAGGCCCUUUCGGGGGUACACGAGCGGCGAACGGGUGAGUAACACGUGGGUGACCUGCCUUUAGCUCUGGGAUAAGCCUGGGAAACUGGGUCUAAUACCGGAUAUGACUCCAUGAUGCAUGUUGUGGGGUGGAAAGCCUUGUGCGGCUGGAGAUGGGCCCGCGGCCUAUCAGCUUGUUGGUGGGGUGANGGCCUACCAAGGCGACGACGGGUAGCCGGCCUGAGAGGACGACCAGCCACACUGGGACUGAGACACGGCCCAGACUCCUACGGGAGGCAGCAGUGGGGAAUAUUGGACAAUGGGCGCAAGCCUGAUCCAGCGAUGCCGCGUGUGUG